Molecule: transfer RNA, 75 nt
Filed under: Ixodes scapularis (black-legged tick)
Lineage: Eukaryota; Metazoa; Arthropoda; Arachnida; Ixodida; Ixodidae
Description: tRNA-Tyr
Source: RNAcentral
GGUGGAGUAGGGGAGUGGUUAUAUCACACCCGACCGUAUGUUGGGAGGCCCAGAGUUAAAAUCCCAGCUCCGCCA